This 301-nucleotide ribosomal RNA is filed under the name uncultured bacterium. RNAcentral describes it as "partial 16S ribosomal RNA". It matches the Rfam family "Bacterial small subunit ribosomal RNA", at positions 509 to 807 of the family's 1533-position model. The record is from RNAcentral.
CAGUCGCCGCGGUAAAACGUAGGGUGCAAGCGUUAAUCGGAAUUACUGGGCGUAAAGCGCGCGUAGGUGGUUUGGUAAGAUGGAUGUGAAAUCCCCGGGCUCAACCUGGGAACUGCAUCCAUAACUGCCUGACUAGAGUACGGUAGAGGGUGGUGGAAUUUCCUGUGUAGCGGUGAAAUGCGUAGAUAUAGGAAGGAACACCAGUGGCGAAGGCGACCACCUGGACUGAUACUGACACUGAGGUGCGAAAGCGUGGGGAGCAAACAGGAUUAGAUACCCGCGUAGUCCCUGUCUCUUAUAC